AACAUGAAUUUAAAUAUAAUUAAUAACAUUUCUCCAGUAAAGAAAUAUGAUAACGCGGAAGCUUUAAAAAUGACCAUUUUAACUGAAAAUAGAAAUAAAUCUGGUAUUUAUCGUUGAAUAAAUAACCUAAAUGAAAAUACAUAUGUAGGUAGUGGGGCUAAUUUAGCAAAGAGAAUAGGUGAUUAUUAUAAUGAAAGCGAGUUAAUAAGAAAUUCUAGACCAAUACAUCUUGCUCUGUUAAAAUAUGAACAUAAUAAUUUUACUCUAGAGAUUCUAGAGUAUUGCUCUAAAGAUAUAUUAAUUGAAAGAGAACAAUACUAUCUUGAUUUACUUAAACCUGAGUAUAAUAUAUUGAAACAUGCUUAUUCUUUGUUAGGUUAUAAGCACAGUGAAGAAAAUAUUGCAAAGUUUAAAUUAAAAAAGAUAUCCGAAGAACAUAAAGAAUUAUUGUCUUCUAUUCAUACAGGAAAGAAUGUUAGUCAAGAAACAAGAGAUAAAUUGUCUCUUGCUACUACAAAAUAUAAAAAAAAUAAUCCUCUUACAAUUGAAGCUUUAGGUAAUAUUAGAGCUAAGACUAUUGAGCGUGAGGGAGUAUCAGUUACUGUUUUUAAUACUGAAACUAAGGAAGUAAAAUAUUUUACUAAUCAGACAGAAGCAGGAGCUUUUUUAGGUGUUUCAAGGCAAGCUGUAUAUAAUGCAAUUAAAAGAGGUAAACCUGUUAAAGGUGUUUACCUAAUAUCAGAGCUUGCGCCUAAAAAUAAAAAUAAAAAUUACUUUAGUUUCGGUAAUACGAAACCAGGAUAUCUAUUCAUGUGAAUAAAUAGCCUGUUGUCUAAAUGGAUAGUUUAUAGUAUUAAUAUUAUUGUUAACUAUUUAGGGAGAAAUAUCUUUGCCUUAUUUAUAUUUAGUAAGGGUAAAGAUUCUUUGUGUAUGUCAAAAGGGAAACAGCCCAGAACAAAAGUUAAGGUUCCAAAAUUAUUGUUCAGUGAAAAACAAGAAGGUUUUUUAUUGAGUCGACAAGGAGAUGGGCUUAGAAGCAGCCAUAAUUUGAAGACCUCGUAACAGAGCGCUUGUUAAAUCUUUAAAGGCAUCGACAAUUUAACGGAUCUAAACAAUAUACCGAAACUUUGUCCUCAUUUAACACUAUAUACUUUAUUUAAUAUGGGAUUUUUAACACUACCUUCGAUACUUUUUUUAUUACUUAUCCAGGCGGUUUCACCAGCAGACCUAAAGUCUGCGGAGGCCUGCCUUUAGGGUCUGGACCGAAAGGUUAAAUUAAAAUAAUAAAAAAAUUACAGAGCCAGAACGCAUGCAGGAUUUGCAGCCAGAAGUGGUGGAUCGAUGGGUCUAAAAUUUAUUAAUAAUAUAGGGUUAAUGCAGGGGUAGCAGAACGUUGGGUUAUAUUAGAUUUUGAAUUUUUUAAAUCAUAAUAAUAAUAAACUCAAUUGAUAAUGGUGACAUGAGUAACGAAAAGAUCUAAUAUUAUUGGGGAGUAAAUUCCGACAAACUAAAAAGAUGAGGAAAAGAAACUAUAUUCAGAACUCGCCUAAAGCUUAAGGUUACCAGUCAAACGGCCUCUAAGUUUAUAACCUGAAGGUUAAUACGAUGAGAUAAUUACUAAAAACAACACUUUGUCUAUGAUUAUUAAGUGUAAAGUGUGCUGGAAAAAAGUAAUUCCUAUUUUUGUCCAGGAACCUUAAAUAAAAGUAAGGGUAACUGGUUUCUUCAACAAACUAAGUAGAUGAGAAGAUUGUACGAUUCUUAAUAAACUAAAUAGAUGAGGGGAUCGGAAAUAGAGCAGAUAGAUACCGUACCUGGAGACUACCACACAAGGAAGCUAGUAGAGAAUACGAAGGCGUAAGAGAUAACAAUCAUAAAGUUGGGGGGGGGUUGGCUCUCCUCGCAUUGUGAUAAAGAGCCAAACUCCGGGAAAAUCCUAAAGUUCUAAUAACCAAGGUAGUAAAGAAAACUUUACUACUGGCCUAACUAAUACUUCAGGGUAUGGUAAAAUCAUUAGAAAUUCUAGUAAUAGAAAUGGAUAAUCGCGGAUCUAAAUCAGUAGUAGUUAAUAUUUACUCUGCUGUAAAAGAGCAACGAGUAGACGGUUCUUCAAUACUUGAAGUAUUGUAAGGUGUACUCUAGUCAUCAAGGAAACUUGGUUUUUAACAUUUAUAAAAGUUCCAGUUAUUAUUUCUGUAAUAUUGGUUUUUCUAUUUGCAAUCAAACACUACCGCCUUAGGUGUUUCUAAUUUUUGUUCAGACGGCGGGUUGUCGUGCAACCAAGUAGUGCAAGUUGGGUUAGCACCCCUUUGUUACUGCUCCGAAGGGCUAAUUAGUAAAAACCUAUAGGUCUGGGAGUCUUUAAAGUUAAACCUUGGAUAAUAAAUAUGAAAUAAAAAAAAAAUUAUACUUAUCGAUUGUCCGCCCCUAAACAUGAAAGAUUCACAAGAUUUUCUCCCAUUUAUACUCCGUAUCUUAUUUAUCAAGUUAACAGUAAGAAUGAAGGAUUUAAAUGAGGGAUACAGUGAGAGAUAAAAGGCCUUUCGUUGUAUCUGUGUUUAAUUGAACUUAAACAAGGUUCAAAGGAUAAUGUAGUAAAGUACACGGUCAUUUGAAAGAGUAAUUUUCUUUUUAUGGAGUUACCUAUUAUCUUGGCUCCCACUUAGUGACUCAAUAAAUUUAUAAAAAGCUACAAAAAUAUUCAAUUCAAAUUUAAUUAAUCCCAGUUUUAUUUCUGGAUUUAUAGACGCAGAGGGCUGUUUUCAUGUUUCUGUUGUUGAGGAUAAAAAUCUAAAAGUUGGUCAUAGUGUGAGAGUAAUUUUCCAAAUUUCUUUGCACGAAAAGGAUAAAGCUCUUUUAGAUUUAAUCCUUAAUUAUUUUGGUGUAGGUAAGGUUAUCGCACGUAAAGAUGGUGUAUAUUAUUAUCAAGUUACCCAGAUAAAAGAUCUGUUGUUAAUAUUAGAUCAUUUAUCAAAGUAUCCUUUAAUUACACAAAAACGUACAGAUUGUGCAUUAUUCAAAGAAGUUAUUGAUUUAAUGAUAGAACAAAAGCAUCGGACUAUAGAAGGAUUAGGUAAAAUAGUCAAUAUAAAAGCAGCAAUGAAUUUUGGUGUACUAUCUGAAAAUUUACUAUCUAAAUUUAUUAAUGUAGAACCCGUUGAAAGAUCUUUAGUAAGAAAUGUAGAAAUUUAUGACUCAAAUUGAGUAAGCGGGUUUGUAGAAGGAGAAGGUUGUUUCUUCGUUAAUAUAUAUAAGAGAAAAGAUAGUGUGUUAGGUGAAGGAGUUAAAUUAGUAUUUAAAAUAACUCAAGAUAAAAGAAACAAUGAAAUACUUGCAUUAUUUUCAAACAUUUUUGGUUGUGGUAAAGUUUAUAAUCAAUCCUCUAAAGGAGGAGUACAGGACUUUAUGAUAACAGGUCUUGGAGAUAUUACUAACAAAGUAAUACCUUUUUUUUUGGCACAUCCCUUAAAAGGAGCAAAGUUAAAAGAAUACCAAGACUGAUGUAAAGUAGCAGAAUUAAUGCAGAAUAAGGAGCAUCUUACUAAAGAUGGACUCGAAAAAAUCAGAUCUAUUAAGUUAGGUAUGAAUUUUAAGCGUACGACGGCUCUGUCCACCCUAAUAGAAGAUUAAUCUUUAUGUAAGAUAAGCUAUUAAGAUAACAGUGAUAGUUGGUUUAUAAGCAGUUUAAAUUUUAUAAAUGUUAAAAUUAAAGGUACCACAUUAGCCUUGUCCUGUUGGCGAAUAUUAAAUAAGCACACAGGAUUAAAUUUGUGGACGAAAGGAACUCGGCAAAUUGAUACCAAAACUUCGGGAAAAGGUAGGCUCAUUAGUCUUGAUUAAUACAAGUAAAAAGGAAGAAGCAUAAAAGGAUGUUGUACGACUGUUUAAUUAAAACACAGCACUCUGCAAAAAGAUGAUAAAUCUAAGUACUGAGUGUGAUACCUGCCCGGUGCCGGCUGGUUAACGGAAAUAACUAGACUGUCGUAGGUUUGGUGUAGAAGGAAACCCCGGCUAAUGGCGGCCUUAUAACUGAGGGUCAGGCUUUCUUAGGGCCCUCAUUAAAUUUAGCUAUAUGCUGGAACAAAUUUUUGAAUUACACUGUAUUAUUUUUGCUUCCAGAGCUAGCUAAAGUACCAUACUUUAGCUUUAUUGCAAAUUAUUCCAUUCUUUUUUUUCCAGUAACAAUUUCUAGUAUAUGGUUUAACGUUUUAACGGACUAACAAUUAAAUUUUUAAUUUUAAGUGUGUAUAGCACACAAUAGAGUUUACAUUGUAGAAGUUCAUUGCCGUGCCAAUUUUUCUACGCUAGUUCGUUGGUUUAACGAUCUCUAUUUUUGGGCGCAAGCUCUAAUAUAAGUAUUUAUAAAUAGAAAAUGAAAAUAUUAAAUAUAAGAACACUAAAGAUACAACCUUUAUUAAAUUUAAUCCGGGGUUGUAUUACAAAAAAUGGAUUAGUUAGCAAUAAAUUUGGCGGUACUUUCGCUAGCUUACACGGUAAAAGUUUACAUACCAGUUCACCCCUUUUAUCAGAGGGGUCAAUUGGUCUAACGGUGUCGGCGAAUAAUACAGGUAAUCUAGAAUUCAAUCAGCAGGAAAGAUUAGAAAAGUUAGUUCAGGAUGAGAACUACAAAUAUUGAUUAGGAGGUUUUAUGGAGGGAGAAGGAGCUUUAGUAAUAUCUAUAGUGAAGAAUACUGAGUUGACAAAUAGAGUUGCCUUACAACCUGAGUUUAAUGUUGUACAACAUACAAAUGGUAUGGAAAUACUUCAUUCGUUCAAGAUCCUUUUUGGGAAUAAAGGAACAGUAACCAAAAAAUCCGGAUCCGCUAAUGUUUUAGUCUAUUCUUUGAAAGGUACUAAAAAUUUGAAAAAAUAUGUGUUACCUUUCUUUGCUAAAUACGUUGCAGUAUAUUCAAGUAAAUACAAAUCUGAAAUUUUUGAUACUUUCAGCUAUGUUAUUAAUAAAUUAGAUGAGAAUCAUCGUAAAGCAACUAGCAAAGAAGACCUUAUAGAAUUAAUUAAAUUGGUUUAUACUUAUAAUCCUGAAGGUAAGGGAAAACAAAGAAAAAGAACAUUGGGGGAAAUCUUGGAUUAUAUAAAUGAUCCUAACCAAUAAGUAAGGAACCACUAACUUACUCAUUAAUAGAGAGCUUAAACUUUUCUAAAAUCCUCAGAGACCAUACGCUAAACAAUCUAUUUAGAUUGAUGAUUUGGUCCAGCGGGCACUUGUUACUUUUUAAGAUGGUAACAAGGGAUAGUGAUAUCUUGCCCGUUGCCUAAGGUAGCGGAAUACCUUGGCCGUUAAAUGCGGUCUUUGCAUGAAUGGUGUAACGAUACAACAGCUGUCUCUAUGAUUGACUCUGUGAAAUUGGAAUAACUGUGCAGAUACAGUUUACCUCUAGUUAGACGAGAAGACCCUAUGCAGCUUUACUGUUACUAAUUAUUGAGUAUAAUAACAGCAAAUUUGAGAAGAUAAGGUAAUCGAUAGUAUAAAAGUGAAAUACCUUUAUUUGCUUAUUGUAUUAUUAUGGAAUAUUAUGUAUAUUGUCUAAUGAUAUAAGUGAAAUACCUUAUAUUGUUGUCAGUUAAAUGUAAAAGGAUCUUAAGUUAUCUCUUCAGGCGUUUUAGAAAGAAGGUUUAGGUGAAAUUAUGUUUAACUUGACGGUUUAUAUAUUAUAAACAUCAGACUCUAUGAUUUAUGAGAAGGGAUAAAAGAAGGGGGACGUUACUUAGAUGACUAAGAAAAUGAAAGAGAUAAACCCAACCCGGGAAAAAUACUUAGAAUUGCUAAGAGAAGUUCUUAUAAAAAAGAGAGAACAUUUGCUAGGAGACAGUUUUUUAAUUUUUAAGCUGUGUUGGUUAUAAUCCAACUCUAAAGUGAUAGUAUUGGCCCCUGUAUAGGGUAGGACUAAAUUAAUUAUACUUAAAAUAUAUAGUCUUCCAUAGAUCUAAUUUUAUUUAGCAUCAAAACUUGUAUAAGAGAGAAUCCUUCUAUUUUAAUUUUACCUUUUUAUUAAGCUCAAAGGUUAUAGUCUCUACAGACUCAUUUUCAUAAGGGCUGGUGAGGUAAUUUUUUUGAUUGGCAGGUCAAGUUGGUUUAGCAUAUACUAUGUAUAAAAUUAAACUGAUAUAACGAAAGUAUAAUUUAUAUAUAAGGUUAUAUGGUUUACAAUGUAAUAAAUAAAACUUAGAUAGUGAACUAUAAUAUUUCUAAAUCGCAUUUUAAAUAAUUAAAUUAUAAAAAAAAAAUAUAAAUGUUAACUAAAAUUACAAAUUUUCAGGGCGCAAGCUCUAGUUUUUUAAUAUCCAGUAUGCUACGCACAUCUUGCUGUCAGUUUUCAAGAAGUAAUCAUAUAGAUGCGAUAGAUCAAAAUGUUGUUUUUUGGAAUAAUAAUACAGAUAAAUUUUUUCAAUGGUUUGUAGGAUUUUCAGAGGCUGAGUCUUGCUUUAAAAUAAAACCUAAAAACCGAAAUGGUAAAUUACAUAGUUUUUAUUUUGAAUUUGAAAUCCAUCUUCAUAUAGAUGAUAUCAAGCUUUUAAGAUUCAUAUGUGGUACUUUAGGUGUAGGUAAUGUUUAUGCAAGAGAAAAAAGUAAUUCUUGUAGUUUUAUAGUAGGUAAUGAAGAAGGUCUUCGUACUUUAAUUAAUAUUUUUGAUCGUUAUAUUUUUAACGGUAUUAAGUUAUUAGACUAUAUAGACUUCAAAGAAGCUUUUUUAAUUUAUUUUAAUCGUAGCGGUACAUUGGAUGAUAAUUUAAUUAGCAGUAUUCUUAAACUUAAACAAGGUAUGAAUAAAGGUCGUGUUGAUUUUAGUUUGCCUAAGGAUCAUAAGAUAAACAUUACCAAAUAUUGACUACUUGGAUUGAUUGAAGGUGAAGGUUCAUUUAGUAUAGCUAAAAGUAAAUUAAGACCUAAUUUUCAAAUAUUGUUUACUGUAGCUCAGAAACCUCUUUUAGUGGAAAUAAGAAAAUAUCUUAUAAGUAAUUUAGGUUUUAAUAGAUUUUCAUUAUGGAAAUUAAAUAAUUCCUCUCUUAUUGGAAUUUUUGAGAUGAAAGCUAAGGGUAAUUCUAAGCCAACAGUAAGUUUAGAAAUUCGUAAUGUCCCUCUAUUACGUAAUUACAUUCUUCCUUUCUUAAAAAGUAUGCCUUUCAUAUCUAAAAAAAGACAUGACUUUAUGGAUUUUUUUCUUAUAUGUAAUGUAUUAUACGUAGGAGGGCAUCUGCAGGAUAAUAAAAUAAAGGAUUUAAUCUUAAAGGUUUCGUCUGGUAUGAAUGACUUUAGAUUAUCUACCUAUAAAGCAAGUUCUAAGGAGACGGCUUUAACUUAUGAUGAGCUUACUAUUUUAAAAAAUUUAGGUAAUUCGGCUAUUCAGCCAAAUUUAUCUUUAGACCUUGAUAUAUUAGAGGAUAAUUCUUCUUUGGAUAUGGGGGGUAUUUUUAAUAAUAGUGUAGUUUAUCUUAUUAUUAAGCCAAAUGCUAAAGAACUAGUUGUAGGUAGUUUAAAAGAAACUUCGGAUAUAUUAGGUAUAAAUAGUGAUGUUUUAAGUAAACUAUUCAAAUCUCUUCCUGCUAACUCAAAUGGUGUGGAAAUUAACAGAUAUAUUGUAAGGAGAGUAAAAGUCUUUUGUGAACGUUAGCUUACAAAAGACUAAUGUGUCGAUUAAGAUUAAAUAAAGUAUAAUUAAUUAUGGUUUACAGUGCUAUUUUAAGGGAAUUAGACAAAGUUACAACUGAAUAAUUCUUAGUUCGCUUUAGAAAAAUUAGGUGAAAACGGUUAAAGAACAAAACCUAGUUCAAGACCGUCGGCAGUUGUAAAUGUCGCUACAGACUGGUUCGCCAGGGUUAGGCUGAAAUGUCUGUCCAAAUGUACAGUCGGACGAGAUACGAUAGUUAGUUAUAGGCGGCGGCUACGCCACCGUAGCACAAAAAAUUGGUGCUAGCUCUCGCAAGGAGAUAGGUAAUAUUAAAGUUUUAGUAGGAUCAGGUAGCAUUCUUGUAACCUGGAGGUUAUGGCUAUCUUAAUUUUAUUUAACAACUUUAAUGGCCCUUUAAGCAAAUGAAGGGUUUAUAUGCUCCUUUCCCUUAUCCCUGCCGCAAGCUCUGGGGGGGAUAAUGGAAGAUAGAUGAAACAAGUAAAUAUGUUUUAUUUGUCUACAUCUCGUUGUUAUGCGGGGCACAGACCCCAUAAAGAGUAGAUGGGAGUGUCUAAGGAUUGUGAUGUUGGUUGCGAAAAAUUGUGUUUUAGUUUUUUAAUCACGAAUCUCGGCGCAAGUAUACUUCGUAGGGAUACGCAGCUAUUAAUUUUUGGUAUAUUUUACCCCUUAAAGCUAGAGUUUAGCCUUAAGGGGGGGUAAAAAAAAAUAAUUUUUGUUUGCAUGUAUUAUAUAACUAAGUUGUAUGUAAUCGUUUGCUAGUACGACACGGAAAGGCGUACAUAUUAUUGAAAGGGUAAGAUUUUAGCUAUAGUGAAAUUAGCUUUAGUGAAAAAAAAGUACUUUAAUAAUGAUAUUGCUGCUUGUAUGUCUGCGUCUAGGGCAAUGCCCUAGGACAAGGGUAGAGCAACGCUGGCAUUUGGAGUAAUAUAGUGCUUUUUAUAGUUAUUAAUUAAUACUUAGCAGUGUUUUUAAUAAUAAUGUUAACUAUUUACCAAGUUUAACGGCUUAAUCUUGCUUUACUGUUUGAUUCACAACAAAUCUUACAGUCGCGUAAGCGGGGCAUAGGAUCACAAGACACAUUAAGGAAAGGUCUUGGAUUAUUGGAAAAGCUACGCUAGGGAUGUUUGUCCUUUAAUUUAUUUUUUUGCUUAAUUAGAAUAAUAGUGAAUAUAUAUAUAGCUAUUUAUACGAGCCUUCACCCUAUAUUAAAGUUAUAUUAUUAUUUAAUCUUCUCUUCUUAUCUUACUGCUGUGUAGCGUGCGUGGGGGAUAGUAGUUUCAUAGCGAGACCAACCGCUUGAGAUUUUUAGGGGGGAAUGGUCAUCUAGCUGCCUAAAUAAAUUAUGUGGCUUACCCAUAAUUUGUUCCGGACGACUCUUUUAUAUUUUUUUUUCACUGUUUUGUACUGAUACUGGUGUGCCUCGUUAGUAAAAAAAUAUAAAACUUCCUGAAGGUGUAGGUGUAAAUAGAAAGAUAUAAUAAAUAGGAAUAUAGGUAAGGUAAGAAAAAUUGUAAGCAAGAAAAUUAUUAAUAAUUUAAUUGGGUUAAUUUCAAAAAUUACUUCUCAUCAAGAUUGGCUACUAAUACGGAGGUAUACGAUCCUUAAGGGAUUUUUUUAGGGUCCUUAGAGAUAGAUACUCGCUCUUAAGGGAGUGAUAAUAUAUAUUUUUAUAUAAGUGUUCUUACACGACUUCGUCAUAAAAGCCAAUCUUAGAUACACGUAAAUUUGAAGCGAAAUUUAUCUUAUUUAGUAAAAAUUAAGAUAAAAACGUUCAACGACUAAUAGGUGAGUAAAACUAACAAUAAUUCUUAUCUAGAAACCCAGCACUUUUUAUUAUAUAUAAUUAAAAAUAAGAAAAUUUACUCCUGAAAACCAACUUUUUUGGCGCAGUAGUUUAUUUAGGCUAGUAAGAAGAAUACGUGCGACUACUUGAUAUGGCUAAAUUAGCCUGCGAUGCACACUUUGUAUGCAGCUGUGGGCAAGAGCUAGCAUAUAUUCCAUUACCCUUUCAUAACUAUGUUCGGCAACUUCGGUCGCAAGCAUGCAUACUCCGUCUUCGUGAGCAGCCUAAUUAAUUAUGAAGGAGGGGUGGAGUAGUUUAUCAUGCAUACUUCGUCUUCGUGAGCAGCCUAAUAAAUUAGGGGAUGGCUUCGCAUAACAAGCCCGCCCUGUCAUGAUAAAGAUAAAUUUCUUAACAAAAUUAAUAAAAAUUAUUACUAUAGUGAAGAAUAAAAUGAAAAAAAAUCAAAAUUUAAUCAAAAAAGCUUCUACGCAGUCCAAUUUAAUUAAUUCUUCGAAAGGGGUCGAAGAAUCCACGAUAAAAGAUAUGAUUAUUCCAAAUAUUUUUAAGCAAAACGUGAAAAAUAAUUUGAAAUUAAGACCCUUUAAUGAAAUAAUAAGUGAUGUAGGGGAUAUACAAUAUUUUCCUGCAUGAGCAAAAGAGUGAAGAAAUAGUGUUUAUCAUUAUAAUAGUAAUUUAAUAAAAAAUUUUCCUCUAUACGAUAUCAAUAUUGUUAAAAUAAUAAAAGUUUAUUUUGAUACAUAUUUUAAUCAUAAAUUUCUUAAAUACAAACAUAUUCUUACUAGAAAAAGACGUUUAUCAUUUAAUAAAAUUUUUUUUGCUAGACCGGAAAUUAAACAUACUAAUUCUAAGGCUAUUAUAACUCUCUAUACUUUUAAUAGAGAAAAGAUUGCUUUAUUAAAAAAAAUCAAAAUUUUAAGUAAUUUAACUAAACAGUUACUUUGUUUACUUAAAACACGCGGUCAUUUUAUUUUUAGAAAAAAAAAAAUAUUCAAAAGCAAAACCCGUAGGAAUGGUCGAAUAAAAUUAGAAUUAAGAUGAGGAAAUGUACGUGUGUAUUGCAAGGGAUUUUUAAAAAAAAUAGAAAAAAUUUUUUUUAAAUUUAAUAUGAUAUCCCUCAUAAUGAAAGAUGGAAAUGUACUUAAAGAUUAUUAUGCUUAUUUCUCUGCAUUAAAAACAAGUAAAAUUAAGGCGAAGAAAGAAACAAAUAAAUGGGUAAAAAUCUUACUUAAAAGAGAAUUUCGUCUUCUUCGAAAAUAUAAAUUUAAACUAAAUCUUAAUAAGUAUAAAUUUGAAGAAAAAUUUUUAUAUAGAUUAAGUAAUGUUAUAAGCAAAAUUUAUAAUAAACAAAUAGAAUUUAAUAUUGUGAAUUUGAAAAAUAUAGUAUUUAAUACUGAUUUGUUCACUGAAAUAUCUACAAAAAAAAUUAAAAAGAGAAAUACGAAAGUUCUAAAAAUAAUGAAUAUUAUGUUAAAUAAAGCUAAGUUACCUAGAGUAAAUAGAAUUCAUGAAAAAGGUAGAAUCGUUAAAAAAGUAAAUUUAAAUUUAGUUGAAAAUAAAUAUAGAACUCUUAAUCUGAAAGAUAUAUUAACUAGUAAACUUAAUUUAGAUAAAUUGUUAACUAAAUUAUAUACUAGUGUUGUUAAUGAUGAAUUCUUACCACGAGUUAAGGCCAAUUUGAAUAAUAUCGUAUUUAAUGGUAUUAAAUACAAGAAUAUGGCUGGGAUUAGAAUGGAAGUUAAAGGUAGAUUAACUCCGCGUUAUAGAGCGGAUCGUAGUGUUUAUAGAUUACGUUGGAAAGGAGGUUUAAAAAAUAUCGACUCUUCUUAUAAAGGAUUAUCUAUACGAAAAUAUAGAGGUCACAUUAACCCUAACGUUGGUUAUUCUAUUUUUUCAUCUAAACGAAGAGUUGGUGCUUUUGCUGUGAAAGGAUGGAUGGCCGGUAAGUCUUAUUCUACUAUGGCUUCUAGUUAUAAUACGGUGAAAAAAUCUUUAAAUAAUUUGACUAGGAGAACGACUAUAUCCUAGAACUGUUACUGGGUUUGUUGAUGCUGAAGGUUGCUUUUUAAUUACCUUAGCUAAAAAUAAUUAAAGUAAAAGUGGUUGAGUGGUUAAAUUACGUUUUCAAAUUCAGAGCUUGCGCCUAAAUAAAAAAGAUAUAGCUAUAUUAGAACAAAUAGUAAAUUUUUUUGGUGCGGGUAAAAUUUAUCAACCUAGUGAAAAUUCUAUUCAGAGCUUGCGCCUACAAAUUGAAUCUAUAAAAGAAUUAGAACUUCCCGGAGGGGAGUUCCCCCGAGCUUGCGUCGGGGGAGGGAACUAGUUAUAAAUCAUUUUUAUCAGUAUCCUCCUUUAUUGACUCAAAAAUAUAAGGAUUACUUACUAUUUAAACUUGCUUUUGAUAUAGUUAAAAAUAAAAAUUAUUUAAGGAGGGUUUAAGAAAGAUUUUAUCUUUAAAAGCUUCAUUAAAUUUAGGGUUAUCUGAUAGUUAAAAAAAAGCUUUUCCUGAUAUAAUUCCUUUUAUACUGCGUUUAAUAAGAGCAAAACGAUAGAUCCUUAUUGAUUAGUAAGUUUUACUUCAGGAGAAGGGUGUUUUUUUUUAUUAAUGUGUUGAAGCGGCCUAAUACAAAAUUAGGUGUAUAAAUUCAAUUAGUGUUUUCAAUAACUCAAUAUACUCUCUUUCGGCCCAGGCCUAACGACCUGGUCCUAGGCCGGAGGGGUGAUGAAAUUUUAAUGAAUAGUCUAAUAUCUUAUUUUGGUUGUGGUUAUAUAAAUAAUAAGAAUAAAUCUCAAUUUACUUGAUUGGAUUUUGUUGUUACAAAAUUUUCAGAUAAUUGAUGAGAAGAUUAUUCCGUUUUUUAGUAACUAUAAAUUUUUGGGUGUUAAAUUACAAGAUUUUGAGGAUUGAUGUAAAAUAGCGAAAAUAAGAGCUUGCGCCUAAAUAAAAAUCAUUUAACUACAUAUGGUUUAGAUGAGAUAUAUAAAUUAAAAGCAGGAAUAAAUAAAGGAAGAAAUUUUUAAGGUAGCGCUUAUGAAAUAUGAGUGCACCAAAAAUAUAGAUAGGUUUUCAAGAAAGCAUUGUAGGCGUAAUAUAUAUAAUAAAAAGUGAAUACAUAGUCUGAACCAUUUUGUAAAAAAUGGAAAAUUAAGAUAACAAAUUGAACAGGCUAAUUUGCGCAAGAGUGUACAUAAUGAGUGCGCGGUUUGGCACCUCGAUGUCGGCUUAACUUCUCCUCUGGGAUGCAGGACCUCGGUAGGGUACGACUGUUCGUCGAUUAAAAAGUUACAUGAGCUGGGUUAAAUACGUCGUGAGACAGUAUGGUUUCUAUCUUCUAGAGGGAAUUAGAAUAGAAUAAGGAGUAACCUAGUACGAAAGGAAUGUGGGGAAUUAAGUUAUUCUGGGUAAUACCAGGGUACACUUUAUUAACCUAUGGUUUACCUGUUGUUUAUAUGCCCGAUAUUAAUUAAUGUAUAAGUGUUAGUACGUUUUAUACAGGGAUACUACUUUCACUCAGGUAGAUAAGUGAGUAUAGCAAUACCUGCUAUAUUACAAUAGUAUAGGCACGGCAGGAAAGCUAAGUUAGUCCAAGAUAAGUGCUGAAAGCAUAUAAGCGCGAGGCUUACCUUAAGAUAUUUCUAAAAUAUACGUAAUAUACUAUUACGAAGUAAACGAGAGUUUAUAUUUAUAGGCUUUAUUUGUAAGAAUCCGGAGAUUUUGAGGAAUAGAGUACUAAUUCAAUAAAUCACUACUCUAAAUUAUAUCUAUCUUAUAAUCUAUUGGGCCUGGUUAGCAUAUUUCUUUUACCUUUAAGAGUAAUAGGGAUAUGUGAUCAGCAAAAUAGCUUACUUAUUUAAUAUAGGUAAACACACACACAAGACACCUAAAUCAGCUAGUCCUAAACCAUUCCACCCUAGGAUUUAGGUUUCUUUUUUUUCCUACCCAUUACAGUAGAGGGGAGGCAAUGUAUCACUUGAUAAUAUAGAGCCAGAAGCUUUGUAUUUAUGAACAAUAUAGAUUAUUCUUUAUAAUAAUUAAUAAUUUAAGUUAUUAUUAGUAAUUUUACCAAUAAGAUAUAUUUAUUAGUAAUUAAUUAUAGAUAAUUGAUUAAAGGUUAUUGAUAGUUAAUAGUCGGCGUAACAUACAAACCUUGAAUGUAGUGCUCAAGUUCCCAUAAGACUUAGAGUUAUACUUUUCACUUGCGGCCUAGGUAGGGGGCUAUAUUUGUAAAUAAAUUGAAAUUAAAUAUAAAAAAUGGAAAAAAAAAUUAAUAAAGGUACAUUAGGGUUAUUAUUGAAUAGGUUUUUUAGUAGUAGCAGUAACUUUUUAAAUGAUUGUUUUACACACAAUAGGAUUAAAAGUUUAUAUACUUCAGAUAUAGAAAGUAUUUUGAAAAGCAACCUUUCUUUUUAUGAGAAUAAUCUUCCUUUGUUUUAUCAAUGAUUAUCAGGGUUUAUAGACGGUGAGGGAUCUUUCCAAAUUAAUCCAUUAAAAAAUAAAAAUGGUGCAAUAACUAAAUUUUCUUUCAUGUUUAUUAUAAAUCUACACAUAGAUGAUUUAGAUGUUUUAAAAAAUAUAUCUAAAUUAUUAGGUAUAGGUGUGGUUACAACAGACACCAAAUCUGAUAGAAAUUUAUGUACAUUGAGAGUUAAUAAACAAUCUGAAUUAUUAAAAUUAAUAAGAAUUAUAAUUGAAAAUCCUUUAAAAGGAGUUAAGUUUUUAGAUUUUUCUGAUUUUGUUAAAGCUUAUUAUUUGUACUUUAACAGAGAUAAUGUAGCUAUUACACCCGAAAUAAUUGGUGAAUUAUUAAAGAUUAAAAAGGGUAUGAAUAAACAAAGAACGAGUUUCUUUAAGCCUAUUGUUACUACGGAAGGUGUGUUCAGUACCCAGGAAUUAUGGUUUUCAUCUAAAAUUCAAAUUACAGACCACUGGUUAUUGGGUUUAAUUGAGGGAGAAGGUUCUUUUCAUUUAGUUAGAUCUAGAUUAAUACCAGGUUUUACAAUAAAGAUGGUUUCAGAUCAAGAACCUCUUAUUGUAGCUAUAAAGGAAUAUUUAGUUUAUAGAUUAGGUUUUGACAAAUAUUCUUUAUUUAAAUUAGAGGGUUCUCAGCUAAUAAGUGUUAACUAUGCGAAAUCGGUUUCAGCUAAUUCUAAACCUCAGGUUUUUAUAGGUAUAGAGAAUAAUCGAAUAUUAUAUAAUUAUCUGUUACCAUAUUUAAAAGGUUUACCUUUUUUAACUAAGAAAUUUAAGGAUUAUAAUGAUUUUACACUGAUUUGUCAUACUAUAUAUUAUAAAAUUCAAAAAAAUUCUACAUUUAAAGAUUUAAUACUAAAAUUAAGUAAUAGUAUGAAUAAUUUCAGAUUGUCUAGUUAUAAAGAUAAAACAUGUAGUAUAACUCAAGAAGAAAUAGGAAUGUUAUUAUCCGCGGAUCCUAUUACUAAACCUUUAAUGGAUGGGAGAUUACUUAAUCUUGUAACUAAUAAAUUCGAGAGCGGGUUAGGAGGUUCAGUGUUCGAAAUAGAAGUUAAUAAUGAAGCUUCUAAAGGUAAAUUGGAAACUAUUCUUGUUAAUAGUUUAGAAGAAUGUGCUUCAGUUACAGGGAUUUCAAGAAAUAUCUUGAAUAGUAGGUUUUCGGUAAUUGUUGACUCAAUUUCGGUUUCAGAGAUAGAAAUUGGAAACUACAAAAUAAAAAGAAUAGGUGUGUUUUUAGGAUAGUAAUCCUUAAAUUACUUAUUCAACUUAUUCGGGCGUAAGCUCUUAAUAUGUAAUACUUUGUUAUAGUUUGCUU
Molecule: ribosomal RNA, 15233 nt
Filed under: Chrysoporthe deuterocubensis
Lineage: Eukaryota; Fungi; Ascomycota; Sordariomycetes; Diaporthales; Cryphonectriaceae
Description: large subunit ribosomal RNA
Rfam family: Bacterial large subunit ribosomal RNA (bases 12609-12767)
Source: RNAcentral